This 253-nucleotide ribosomal RNA is filed under the name uncultured bacterium. RNAcentral's name for it is "partial 16S ribosomal RNA". It matches the Rfam family "Bacterial small subunit ribosomal RNA", at positions 524 to 776 of the family's 1533-position model. The record is from RNAcentral.
UACAGAGGGUGCGAGCGUUGUUCGGAAUUACUGGGCGUAAAGCGCACGUAGGCGGAUUGUUUAGUUAGGGGUGAAAUCCCAGGGCUCAACCCUGGAACUGCCUCUAAUACUGGCGAUCUAGAGUCCGAGAGAGGUGAGUGGAAUCCCGAGUGUAGAGGUGAAAUUCGUAGAUAUUCGGAGGAACACCAGUGGCGAAGGCGGCUCACUGGCUCGGUACUGACGCUGAGGUGCGAAAGCGUGGGGAGCAAACAGG